RNAcentral lists this ribosomal RNA (337 nucleotides) under uncultured Bacteroidales bacterium. Its description in RNAcentral is "bacterial SSU rRNA". It matches the Rfam family "Bacterial small subunit ribosomal RNA", at positions 77 to 414 of the family's 1533-position model. The record is from RNAcentral. Lineage: Bacteria; Pseudomonadati; Bacteroidota; Bacteroidia; Bacteroidales.
UAGCAAUACCGCUGACGACCGGCGCACGGGUGAGUAACACGUAUCCAACCUUCCCAUAACUCGGGGAUAGCCUUUCGAAAGAAAGAUUAAUACCCGAUAGUACUUUAUUAAGGCAUCUUAAGAAAGUUAAAGAUUUAUUGGUUAUGGAUGGGGAUGCGUUCCAUUAGAUAGUUGGUGAGGUAACGGCUCACCAAGUCUUCGAUGGAUAGGGGUUCUGAGAGGAAGGUCCCCCACAUUGGUACUGAGACACGGACCAAACUCCUACGGGAGGCAGCAGUGAGGAAUAUUGGUCAAUGGGCGAGAGCCUGAACCAGCCAAGUAGCGUGAAGGAUGACGG